RNAcentral lists this ribosomal RNA (497 nucleotides) under uncultured bacterium. RNAcentral's name for it is "partial 16S ribosomal RNA". It matches the Rfam family "Bacterial small subunit ribosomal RNA", at positions 28 to 507 of the family's 1533-position model. The record is from RNAcentral.
GAUGAACGCUGGCGGCGUGCCUAAUACAUGCAAGUCGAGCGAACAGACGAGGAGCUUGCUCCUCUGACGUUAGCGGCGGACGGGUGAGUAACACGUGGAUAACCUACCUAUAAGACUGGGAUAACUUCGGGAAACCGGAGCUAAUACCGGAUAAUAUAUUGAACCGCAUGGUUCAAUAGUGAAAGACGGUUUUGCUGUCACUUAUAGAUGGAUCCGCGCCGCAUUAGCUAGUUGGUAAGGUAACGGCUUACCAAGGCAACGAUGCGUAGCCGACCUGAGAGAGUGAUCGGCCACACGGGAACUGAGACACGGGGCAGACACCUACGGGAGGCAGCAGUAGGGAAGCUUCCGCAAGGGGCGAAAGCCUGACGGGGCAACGCCGCGUUAGUGAUGAAGAUCUUCGGAUCGUAAAAAGCUAUUAUUAGGGAAGAACAUAUGUGUAAGUAACUGUGCACAUCUUGACGGUACCUAAUCAGAAAGCCACGGCUAACUACGGG